RNAcentral lists this long non-coding RNA (272 nucleotides) under Homo sapiens (human). RNAcentral's name for it is "non-protein coding lnc-PUDP-2:2". Lineage: Eukaryota; Metazoa; Chordata; Mammalia; Primates; Hominidae. The record is from RNAcentral.
CUCAGCUUCCCUAGUAGCUGGGACUACAGGUGUGCACCUCCAUGCCUGGCUAAUUUCAAAAGAAAAUUUCUUGUCAACACUGGAUCUUUCUAUGUUGCUCAGGCUGGUUUCGAAAUCCCAGCCUCAAGUGAUCCUCCUGCCUCAGCCUCCCAAAGUGCUGAGAUUAUAAGCAUGAGCCACUGCCCUGUGGGCCCAGAUGUGCUUAGGGGUGAGAUUAUAAGCAUGAGCCACUGCCCUGUGGGCCCAGAUGUGCUUAGGGGAAAGUACUUUGU